RNAcentral lists this ribosomal RNA (497 nucleotides) under uncultured bacterium. RNAcentral describes it as "partial 16S ribosomal RNA". It matches the Rfam family "Bacterial small subunit ribosomal RNA", at positions 27 to 507 of the family's 1533-position model. The record is from RNAcentral.
GGGGGGGGGGGGGGGGGGGGGGGGGGGGGGGGGGGCGGGGGGAGGGGCGGGGGGGGUGCGCCUCUGGCGUGGGCGGCGGGCGGGUGGGUACCCCGGGGCUGACCUACCUAUACGACUGGGAUCCCUUCGGGGAACCGGCGCUGAUACCGGCUACUAUAUUGAACCGCAUGGUUCCAUAGUGAAAGCCGGUUUUGCUGUCACUUAUAGAUUGGUCCGCCCCGCAGUAGCUAGUUGGUAAGGUAACGGCUUACCAAGGCAACGCUGCGUAGCCGACCGGAGAGGGUGAUCGGCCACACUGGAACUGAGACACGGUCCAGACUCCUACGGGAGGCAGCAGUAGGGAAUCUUCCGCAAUGGGCGAAAGCCUGACGGAGCAACGCCGCGUGAGUGAUGAAGGUCUUCGGAUCGUAAAACUCUGUGAUUAGGGAAGAACAAAUGUGGAAGUAACUAUGCACGUCUUGACGGUACCUAAUCAGAAAGCCACGGCUAACUACGUG